GAUGCUGUCACUUGGAUUUCAUGGCAGCAGCCCCGAUGGCACUGAAUCACCAUCUGAGUCUCUCACCGCCCCACGUUCCAUCAAACGCAGCUGGGAGCAGAGUGCCCUGCUCAAAGGCACAUAAAUCAGUUUUUGGGCCAGAGUGACUGGAGCUGUACAAUGAUCUGAAAGACUGGUUUAUGACAGCAUGAUAUUUGG
Molecule: long non-coding RNA, 198 nt
Organism: Pleuronectes platessa (European plaice)
Lineage: Eukaryota; Metazoa; Chordata; Actinopteri; Pleuronectiformes; Pleuronectidae
Exons: 3
Source: RefSeq, a predicted model, not a curated record